This 369-nucleotide ribosomal RNA is filed under the name uncultured bacterium. RNAcentral's name for it is "bacterial SSU rRNA". It matches the Rfam family "Bacterial small subunit ribosomal RNA", at positions 525 to 896 of the family's 1533-position model. The record is from RNAcentral.
ACGAAGGAUGCAAGCGUUAUCCGGAUUCAUUGGGUUUAAAGGGAGCGUAGGUGGGUUUGUAAGUCAGUGGUGAAAGCCGGUCGCUUAACGAUCGAAUUGCCAUUGAUACUGCAGACCUUGAGUACAGAUGCUGUGGGCGGAAUAUGACAUGUAGUGGUGAAAUACAUAGAGAUGUCAUAGAACACCGAUUGCGAAGGCAGCUCACAAAACUGUAACUGACACUGAGGCUCGAAAGUGCGGGGAUCAAACAGGAUUAGAUACCCUGGUAGUCCGCACUGUAAACGAUGAUUACUCGCUGCUGGGAGGUAACUUUCAGUGGCUUAGCGAAAGCGAUAAGUAAUCCACCUGGGGAGUACGCCGGCAACGGUG